RNAcentral lists this ribosomal RNA (1760 nucleotides) under Salmonella enterica. Its description in RNAcentral is "partial 23S ribosomal RNA". It matches the Rfam family "Bacterial large subunit ribosomal RNA", at positions 1200 to 2925 of the family's 2925-position model. The record is from RNAcentral. Lineage: Bacteria; Pseudomonadati; Pseudomonadota; Gammaproteobacteria; Enterobacterales; Enterobacteriaceae.
CUGCGGCAGCGACACUAUGUGUUGUUGGGUAGGGGAGCGUUCUGUAAGCCUGUGAAGGUGUGUCGUGAGGCAUGCUGGAGGUAUCAGAAGUGCGAAUGCUGACAUAAGUAACGAUAAAGCGGGUGAAAAGCCCGCUCGCCGGAAGACCAAGGGUUCCUGUCCAACGUUAAUCGGGGCAGGGUGAGUCGACCCCUAAGGCGAGGCCGAAAGGCGUAGUCGAUGGGAAACGGGUUAAUAUUCCCGUACUUGGUGUUACUGCGAAGGGGGGACGGAGAAGGCUAUGUUGGCCGGGCGACGGUUGUCCCGGUUUAAGCGUGUAGGUGUGUGUUCCAGGUAAAUCCGGUUCACUUUAACACUGAGGCGUGACGACGAGGCACUACGGUGCUGAAGCAACAAAUGCCCUGCUUCCAGGAAAAGCCUCUAAGCAUCAGGUAACAUCAAAUCGUACCCCAAACCGACACAGGUGGUCAGGUAGAGAAUACCAAGGCGCUUGAGAGAACUCGGGUGAAGGAACUAGGCAAAAUGGUGCCGUAACUUCGGGAGAAGGCACGCUGACACGUAGGUGAAGUGAUUUACUCAUGGAGCUGAAGUCAGUCGAAGAUACCAGCUGGCUGCAACUGUUUAUUAAAAACACAGCACUGUGCAAACACGAAAGUGGACGUAUACGGUGUGACGCCUGCCCGGUGCCGGAAGGUUAAUUGAUGGGGUCAGCGCAAGCGAAGCUCCUGAUCGAAGCCCCGGUAAACGGCGGCCGUAACUAUAACGGUCCUAAGGUAGCGAAAUUCCUUGUCGGGUAAGUUCCGACCUGCACGAAUGGCGUAAUGAUGGCCAGGCUGUCUCCACCCGAGACUCAGUGAAAUUGAACUCGCUGUGAAGAUGCAGUGUACCCGCGGCAAGACGGAAAGACCCCGUGAACCUUUACUAUAGCUUGACACUGAACAUUGAGCCUUGAUGUGUAGGAUAGGUGGGAGGCUUUGAAGUGUGGACGCCAGUCUGCAUGGAGCCGACCUUGAAAUACCACCCUUUAAUGUUUGAUGUUCUAACGUGGACCCGUGAUCCGGGUUGCGGACAGUGUCUGGUGGGUAGUUUGACUGGGGCGGUCUCCUCCUAAAGAGUAACGGAGGAGCACGAAGGUUGGCUAAUCCUGGUCGGACAUCAGGAGGUUAGUGCAAUGGCAUAAGCCAGCUUGACUGCGAGCGUGACGGCGCGAGCAGGUGCGAAAGCAGGUCAUAGUGAUCCGGUGGUUCUGAAUGGAAGGGCCAUCGCUCAACGGAUAAAAGGUACUCCGGGGAUAACAGGCUGAUACCGCCCAAGAGUUCAUAUCGACGGCGGUGUUUGGCACCUCGAUGUCGGCUCAUCACAUCCUGGGGCUGAAGUAGGUCCCAAGGGUAUGGCUGUUCGCCAUUUAAAGUGGUACGCGAGCUGGGUUUAGAACGUCGUGAGACAGUUCGGUCCCUAUCUGCCGUGGGCGCUGGAGAACUGAGGGGGGCUGCUCCUAGUACGAGAGGACCGGAGUGGACGCAUCACUGGUGUUCGGGUUGUCAUGCCAAUGGCACUGCCCGGUAGCUAAAUGCGGAAGAGAUAAGUGCUGAAAGCAUCUAAGCACGAAACUUGCCCCGAGAUGAGUUCUCCCUGAGACUUAAAGUCUCCUGAAGGAACGUUGAAGACGACGACGUUGAUAGGCCGGGUGUGUAAGCGCAGCGAUGCGUUGAGCUAACCGGUACUAAUGAACCGUGAGGCUUAACCUUACAACGCCGAAG